This 460-nucleotide ribosomal RNA is filed under the name uncultured bacterium. RNAcentral's name for it is "partial 16S ribosomal RNA". It matches the Rfam family "Bacterial small subunit ribosomal RNA", at positions 338 to 795 of the family's 1533-position model. The record is from RNAcentral.
CCUACGGGUGGCAGCAGUGAGGAAUAUUGGUCAAUGGGCGAGAGUCUGAACCAGCCAAGUAGCGUGAAGGAUGACUGCCCUAUGGGUUGUAAACUUCUUUUAUAAAGGAAUAAAGUGAGGCACGUGUGCCUUUUUGCAUGUACUUUAUGAAUAAGGAUCGGCUAACUCCGUGCCAGCAGCCGCGGUAAUACGGAGGAUCCGAGCGUUAUCCGGAUUUAUUGGGUUUAAAGGGAGCGUAGAUGGGUUGUUAAGUCAGUUGUAAAAGUUUGCGGCUCAACCGUAAAAUUGCAAUUGAUACUGGCAGCCUUGAGUACAGUUGAGGUAGGCGGAAUUCGUGGUGUAGCGGUGAAAUGCUUAGAUAUCACGAAGAACCCCGAUUGCGAAGGCAGCUUACUAAACUGCGACUGACAUUGAUGCUCGAAAGUGUGGGUAUCAAACAGGAUUAGAUACCCGGGUAGUC